GAUGAAGAACGCAGCGAAAUGCGAUAAGUAAUGUGAAUUGCAGAAUUCAGUGAAUCAUCGAAUCUUUGAACGCACAUUGCGCCCGCCAGUAUUCUGGCGGGCAUGCCUGUUCGAGCGUCAUUUCAACCAUCAAGCCCCCGGCUUGUGUUGGGGACCUGCGGCUGCCGCAGGCCCUGAAAACCAGUGGCGGGCUCGCUAGUCACUCCGAGCGUAGUAGUUACAUCUUGCUCAGGGCGUGCUGCGGGUUCCGGCCGUUAAAAGCCUUAUUUACCCAAGGUUGACCUCGGAUCAGGUAGGAAGACCCGCUGAACUUAAGCAUAUCAAUAAGCGGAGGA
Molecule: unclassified non-coding RNA, 335 nt
Filed under: soil metagenome
Description: partial contains 5.8S ribosomal RNA, internal transcribed spacer 2, and large subunit ribosomal RNA
Rfam family: 5.8S ribosomal RNA (bases 1-120)
Source: RNAcentral